GUCGAGAAUUUUUCACAAUGGGCGAAAGCCUGAUGGAGCGACGCCGCGUGGGGGAUGAAUGGCUUCGGCCCGUAAACCCCUGUCAUUUGCGAAUAAUCUCUGGGAUUUAACAGAUCCUAGAUUGAAAGUAGCAGAAGAGGAAGGGACGGCUAACUCUGUGCCAGCAGCCGCGGUAAUACAGAGGUCCCAAGCGUUGUUCGGAUUUACUGGGCGUAAAGGGUGCGUAGGUGGUAGGGUAAGUUCAAGGUGAAAGCUUCGGGCUCAACCCGAAAAUUGCCUCGAAAACUAUCCUGCUAGAGGAUCAGAGGGGAGACUGGAAUUCUCGGUGUAGCAGUGAAAUGCGUAGAUAUCGAGAGGAACACCUGUGGCGAAGGCGAGUCUCUGGAUGAUUCCUGACACUGAGGCACGAAAGCUAGGGGAGCAAACGGGAUUAGAUACCCGGGUAGUCC
This 449-nucleotide ribosomal RNA is filed under the name uncultured bacterium. RNAcentral describes it as "bacterial SSU rRNA". It matches the Rfam family "Bacterial small subunit ribosomal RNA", at positions 354 to 796 of the family's 1533-position model. The record is from RNAcentral.